This is a long non-coding RNA of Oncorhynchus tshawytscha (Chinook salmon), 1387 nucleotides long. The record is from Ensembl. NCBI's taxonomy places the organism in Eukaryota, Metazoa, Chordata, Actinopteri, Salmoniformes, Salmonidae.
CUCUCUAGCUAAUGUUCUGUUAGCAUAACAGGUCCCAACACGUACAGUCUAAAGUGCUUUCUAGCUAAUGUUCUGUUAGCAUAACAGGUUCUGCUACAGAGUAGACAAACAACAUUAUCUGACAGUAGCUAGGUCACAUGACAUGGGUCAGGUAAGAAACGAUAGACAUGUAGAACUACAGUAGGGUUUGGUAGUACUGUACCAAUGACUGGACCCAGUAUGGUAGAUAGGACUGGACCCAGUAUGGUAGAUAGGACUGGACCCGGUACACUCUGACUGGACCCAGUAGAUAGGACUGGGCCCAGUAUGGUAGAAGGGACUGGACCCAGUAUGGUAGAAGGGACUGGACCCAGUAUGGUAGAAGGGACUGGACCCAGUACGGUAGAUAGGACUGGGCCCAGUACGGUAGAUAGGACUGGGCCCAGUACGGUAGAUAGGACUGGGCCCAGUAUGGUAGAAGGGACUGGACCCAGUAUGGUAGAUAGGACUGGACCCAGUAUGGUAGAUAGGACUGGACCCAGUAUGGUAGAUAGGACUGGGCCCAGUAUGGUAGAAGGGACUGGGCCCAGUAUGGUAGAUAGGACUGGGCCCAGUAUGGUAGAUGGGACUGGGCCCAGUAUGGUAGAUGGGACUGGGCCCAGUAUGGUAGAUGGGACUGGACCCAGUAUGGUAGAUAGGACUACUUGAGGUGAGGGAGAAAGUGUGGUGGGACAAGUAUUCGUUAGCUAGCCAAUUUAUCUGAUCAAAUAAUUGAGUUCAUGGUGUGAAAAUUAGCUGCUAAUAAAGUCAGACAGCUGACGCUAGCUAGCUAACGUUACAUCAUCAGACAGCUGAAGCUAGCUAGCUAGCUAACGUUACAUCAGACAGCUGAAGCUAGCUAGCUAACGUUACAUCAUCAGACAGCUGAAGCUAGCUAGCUAACGUUACAUCAUCAGACAGCUGAAGCUAGCUAGCUAGCUAACGUUACAUCAGACAGCUGAAGCUAGCUAGCUAACGUUACAUCAGACAGCUGAAGCUAGCUAGCUAACGUUACAUCAGACAGCUGAAGCUAGCUAGCUAACGUUACAUCAUCAGACAGCUGAAGCUAGCUAGCUAACGUUACAUCAUCAGACAGCUGAAGCUAGCUAGCUAGCUAACGUUACAUCAUCAGACAGCUGAAGCUAGCUAGCUAACGUUACAUCAUCAGACAGCUGAAGCUAGCUAGCUAACGUUACAUCAUCAGACAGCUGAAGCUAGCUAGCUAGCUAACGUUACAUCAUCAGACAGCUGACGCUAGCUAGCUAACGUUACAUCAUCAGACAGCUGAAGCUAGCUAGCUAACGUUACAUCAUCAGACAGCUGAAGCUAGCUAGCUAGCUAACGUUACAUCAUCAGACAGCUGAAGCUA